UCGCGGCGGAGACGCUCGGGGUGCGCGCCGACCGGCUGGCGUUCGGUGGUCGAUCGAUGGGUGGUCGCAUCUGUUCGAUGGCGAUCGCCGAGGGCC
Molecule: transfer RNA, 96 nt
Filed under: Acidimicrobiales bacterium
Lineage: Bacteria; Bacillati; Actinomycetota; Acidimicrobiia; Acidimicrobiales
Description: tRNA-Ala
Source: RNAcentral